Molecule: non-coding RNA, 235 nt
Filed under: Clostridium collagenovorans
Lineage: Bacteria; Bacillati; Bacillota; Clostridia; Eubacteriales; Clostridiaceae
Description: T-box sequence
Rfam family: T-box leader
About the family: Uncharged tRNA acts as the effector for transcription antitermination of genes in the T-box leader family. T-boxes are found upstream of many aminoacyl-tRNA synthetase genes and some amino acid biosynthetic genes usually in Gram-positive bacteria. The anticodon of a specific tRNA base pairs to a specifier sequence within the T-box motif, and the NCCA acceptor tail of the tRNA base pairs to a conserved bulge in the T-box antiterminator hairpin.
Source: RNAcentral
UAAAAUUCUAUGAUUAGGAAAAGUAUUCUUAAAAAUUAAUUUUAGCGAGUAAAAGAGGGUGGGAGUUUUACAUUAAUUUAAGAAGAAAAUAGAGCCUAUGAGAAGCUAUGUGAAAAGAGGUAAAACUCGUAGUAACAUAUGCCGCAAUAAAUGCGUUAAAAUAUUUGAGAGGAUAGGUAAAAUCGAAAUUUUACUUAUCAAUUAGAGUGGUACCGCGGAUAUAUCCGUCUCUAUA